Molecule: unclassified non-coding RNA, 216 nt
Filed under: plant metagenome
Description: partial contains small subunit ribosomal RNA, internal transcribed spacer 1, and 5.8S ribosomal RNA
Source: RNAcentral
UCUCCGUAGGUGAACCUGCGGAGGGAUCAUUACAAGAACGCCCGGGCUACGGCCUGGUUAUUCAUAACCCUUUGUUGUCCGACUCUGUUGCCUCCGGGGCGACCCUGCCUUCGGGCGGGGGCUCCGGGUGGACACUUCAAACUCUUGCGUAACUUUGCAGUCUGAGUAAACUCAAUUAAUAAAUUAAAACUUUUAACAACGGAUCUCUUGGUUCUG